Arachis duranensis is the source of this 2842-nucleotide RNA transcript. It is a transcript of the gene named pentatricopeptide repeat-containing protein At1g62670, mitochondrial-like, with no coding region annotated. The record is from RefSeq and is a predicted model, not a curated record. The transcript is spliced from 3 exons. Lineage: Eukaryota; Viridiplantae; Streptophyta; Magnoliopsida; Fabales; Fabaceae.
UACUGAAAAUACUUAUAAAAGUUGUUUUGAAAUUCGACACAAAAUCUCUACAAAUACAUAUUAUGUAAAAUUUUUCUACAACCCCACGCUUCUAUAAAAUACUCCAGAUAACAAUAUUCAACAAAAAAAACACUUAUUUAUCCACAUCAAAAAUAAUUUCUGUCAAAAUGGUCAUCUGCUCUUCAACGGAAAUUGGGUAAAAAUAUGUAUCUGAUACUUUUCAUAAAGGAAUCAUAAAUUAAAACCCCAUUGGAAGUUGGAACACAAAAAGAGUUCUAAGUUCUAACACUCAACAUAUUGUUUGCUACAUUCACGGAACUUCAACCUUCGUUUGGCGAAAUAGGAGCAAGCACAAGGUUCCAAUCUGUAUGGAUUCCAUUUGAAGUUUUGAGGAGAAGAUGUUGAUCACGAGGUACACCUAUCUCAAUUCCACCUUCCUUCUUCGUUUGUUUCACUCUGUUCCUUUCAGGCUUUAUGCUCAUUCCCCUUUCCCAAUUCCUCCUAACAAUAACAAUAAUAACAAUGUGGAUGAUGCUGUUGCUUCUUUUAUCACCCUUCUUGGUAAGCGCCAUUUGCCCCCUGUGGUUGAGUUCAACAAGAUUUUAGUGUCUCUUGUUAAGAUCAAACAAUACUCCACUGCUGUUUCGCUCUUUGCACAAAUGGAUUUUAGGGGAAUCACUCCUGAAUAUUUUACUCUCUGCAUCUUGAUAAAUUGUUUCUGCCAUUUGGGUCUCAUGGAUUCUGCUUUCUCUGUAUUGGCCAAGAUUAUCAAGUUGGGUCAUCAAUUGGAUGUGGUUGCUUUGAAUACCCUAAUGAAAGGUUUCUGUAUAAACAAGAAGGUCAGGGAAGCAUUAGAGUUUCAUGAUAAGGUAAGAGCUAUGGGAUUUCGGCUUGAUGAGGUCACUUAUGGGACCUUAAUCAAUGGGCUUUGUAAGAUAGGGCAGACAAGAGGAGCCAUUGAAUUACUGCAAAAGCUAGAGAAGCAACCUGUUAAACCCGGCGUAGUAAUGUACAAUGCUGUUAUUGAUGGGUUAUGUAAGGAUGGGCUUGUGACUGACGCUAAGAACUUGUUUCCCAAGAUGAUUGCACUAGGAAUAUCUCCUAAUGUUGUCAGUUACAGCUCCCUUAUUCACGGUUUUUGCUGUGCCAGUCGCUUAGAAGAAGCUACACAAUUGUUGAGUGAAAUGGUUAAAAGCAGCAUCAAGCCAAACAUAUAUACCUUCAGUAUAUUAAUUGAUGCUUUAUGUAAAAAGAGAAGAGCUGGAGAAGCCCAAAAGAUAUUUGAUAUGUUGUUGGAAAGUGGCCAUAAGCCUAAUGUUGUCACUUACAAUUCUUUGAUUGCUGGUUACUUUCUAAUCAAUAAAGUGAAUGAGGCAGCAAAGUUAUUUGACUGCAUGAACAAAGCAGGUUUGAUACACGAUGAUUACAGUUAUAACAUCAUGAUUCAUGGAUAUUGCAAGAACAAAAUGGUGGAUCAAGCGAUGAGUCUCUUUAAAGAAAUGCGUCACAAAAGUUUAAGUCCAGAUAGUAUAACUUACAGUACCCUUCUUGAUGGAUUAUGCAAAUCAGGGAGAAUAUCAUGCAUACAGAAUCUUCUUGAUGAAAUGCACGAAAGUGGACAACCCCCUAAUUUAAUCACUUACAAUAUAUUGCUAGAUGCUUUAUGCAAAAUCCAACAUCUUGAUGAAGCAAUUGCACUAUUUCAGAAAAUUGUUGACAAGGGGCAUCGUCCAGAUUUGUACAUGUGCACUAUUCUUUUGAAUGGUUUGUGCAAAUGUGGAAGAGUAAGGACUGCAAGAAAGUUUUUCCAGCUGCUCUUGGUCAACAAUUAUUGUCUAGAUGUUGUGACCUACAAUACUAUGAUACGUGGGCUUUCUAAAGAGGGCUUGAUUGGUGAAGCAAUGGUGUUAUUUUCAAAAAUGAAAGAAAAUGGUUGCCUUCCAAAUGCUGCAACUUAUGAAACAAUUAUUCGAGCCCAUCUUGUUAGAAAUAAGAAUGAGCAAGCAGUAAAGCUUCUUCGUGAAAUGAUCAGUAAAGGUCUACUAAUGGGCAGUAGUAAUGAGGAUUCCAAGUUUAUGACUCCCCGUGAGGUGGGACAGAUUCUUGAAUGGGAAUCUCGCUCUUCCAACCAGACGACGAGUGUCGAGUGAUGUGUAUUAUGUCGUAUUUCCAUAUCCUUAGGUUGAUAAAGAUAAGGAUUCUUUGAUAUAAUGCAAAAUAUUGAGAGGGAAUGGUUAAGUCAUAGAUAAUCUCCUUCGGAGUGCCACGGUUGAGACUCAUGUUAGAGCUUUUCUGGUGAGGUCGAUCAAGGAGCUGCUGACAAAACCGCAGAAGGUGGUGUUUGGCACAUCUUCAGAGAGGCGAAUCAAUGUGCCGAUGCUCUGGCCAAAUAUGGGCAAGGAAUGGAGAAAGGGGUCAUGCUGUUCGAAGAAGUCCCAGCUAUAGUGGUUCUCUUGGUGGAAGCUGAUGAGCGUGGAGUGGAGUUGUGCAAAACCACUCUUGUUUACUGUUUUUCUUUUUCCUGGGCUUUAGGCCCCGUUUUAGAUCGAAAAAAUAGAUGGCAAUCAAGGGUCGAUUAUACUCAUAAAGAACUGCCCCUAAAAGCAUAACUUAGCAUACAAGGGACUAACCUCUGAAUGCUGGCCAAAAUCUUCAACUAUUAUUUGUUUCUUUCCAGAGCAUUUUCCCUAACCUGAAGCAAGUUUAAAGGGGGUUAAAAUAAGCAUAUAAAUGUUAUUUUUAGACUAUACUCUUUUUUGCUCUGUCUCUAUGUAACUUUAAGCUCAUAGACUGAAACUGUGAAAACGGCUACUGAUGUAAUUUUCAGGUUAUGUGUAUAUUA